This 112-nucleotide ribosomal RNA is filed under the name Caerostris darwini. The record is from RNAcentral. Lineage: Eukaryota; Metazoa; Arthropoda; Arachnida; Araneae; Araneidae.
AACGGCCGUACCAUGCUGAAUAUACCGGUUCUCGUUAGAUCACCGAAGUCAAGAAUCAUUGGGCGCGGUCAGUACUUGGGUGGGUGACCACCUGGGAACACCGCGUGCCGUU